UGUCUGUAAUUCUUUUGGCAGCCAAUAGGAGAGCUGGAUUUGUCCCAAUUCUCCUCCAUCUUUUCUGCACGAUCCGUUCCGUUUACCAUCUGACCGACAGCAACCAAUCUCCGUUCGCGGCUGCGGUCCCGUGACCAAAACGGGCUCAGCCAAUCAGGUUGCUGUAUUUGUCCCUAUUUCGAGAAUCCAACUUUUAGCAGCCAAUAGGAGAGCCGGAUUUGUCCCAAUGUCCUCCAUCUUUUCUUCACGACCCGACCGACAGCAACCAGCCAAACUCUCCGUGCGGCAGCCAAUAGAAGAGCCGGAUCAGCCUCACCUGUCUACCGUCAGUGCUCCGCUUACCAUGUGACCGACAGCAGCGAGUCAGUUUUCUACAUCCAUCUCCAGCUGCAGGCCAGUCGUGGAGCUGCUGGGCCAGAUGUUCAGCAGGCCUGUCUGUGCCACAUUUUACUUUAAUGUAGUUUUUACAAGUUGAUGUCAAAGUUCAGCUUUAUUUGGUAAAGAAGGCGGAAAAACUGUUGAUUCAUUGAUUGUGUUUGAUAAAUCAUUUUCUGCUUUCACUGUAUUCCAACAUUCAGCUCAUAUAUAGUAUAAAUAUGAAGUCACUACAUUUGGUGAUGGUAGUCCUGGUUUUACUGGCAUGGUUCAGUUGUUCACUUAUUGUUGUUCUAACUACAUGAAGUCCAGUUUUAUUUCCCUUUUUAAUUAAUUGUGUCCAACAACUGUCACUAACUUCUAUAACACUGGUUUGUACUUCAUGUAACAUCAUCUAUAAGAGUUACUGAAGAGGAAAAUGUUUAAUUCUCUCUGUGCUGUUUCAGCAGACGGAUGCUUUUCAUUUCGUGUUUUGUGAUGAAUUCAUCUAAUCUAAGUAUUUUGGGGAAUAGAAACAGGUCUGUAAUUUGAGAGGAAUGUGUCAGUCUCCAGACUUAUAUGUGGGUAUUACUUUUGCUGUUUUCAUUUUAUUUGGAAAUACUCCGUCUUUCAGGGAUUGGUUGAAUAUGUAUAUAAUGGGUUUAACCACACAGUCAAUAAUGUUCUUAACCAUGAACAUGUCUAUAUCAUCUAUACGAGUUACUGAAGAGGAGAAAAUGUUUAAUUCUCUCUGCUGUUUCAGCAGACGGCUGCUUUUCAUUUCUAGUUCUUUUGUCAUUUUUUCAUAUUAACUGAGUCAAAGAUCUUCUAAAUCAACCAUCACUACAGUACUGUUCUGUUAUACUCACAUACACCACCUACUGUGUGGAAGUGUGGAGGAACACAUAAAACAAACUCAGAUCCAACAUUUUCAUCCUGUAAAAAAAUGAGGAGUUGUAAGAAUUAUAACUAAAACUUCUUACAGAGAACUAACAAAGCCAAUCUUCACCAAAUUAAAAGCACUAAAGUUUAACGAUCUAGUUUUACUUCAAAACUCCUCAAAUCAUGUACAGAGUUAAAAACCAACAGCUGCCAAAUAAUAUCUAAAGUUUCUAAAUGAUUUGAUACAGUGUGUCUUUUUGACUUGUUUAUUGCUUUAUUUUCUUGUGUUGUUUUGAAUUUUUUUUUUGUUUUUGAGUUUGAUCUUAGUUAUAGUUUUUUAAAUGGGGUUAAUACUAGAAAGGUUCCUUGCACACUUUUUAAUCAUUGAAUGAUUUUUCUACAUCUGCCCAUCUCCAGCUGUUGAGCCAGAUGUUCCACUGACUCACGAGAGGGAGUGUAAGGAGGGGCAGCAGCAACACCACCACCACCACCACCACCACCACCACCACCACCACCACCACCACCAGCAGCAGCAGCAGCAGCACCAUCACCACCAGCAGCAGCAUCAUCAUCACCUGUAGCAGCACCAGCAGCACCACCACCUGUAGCAGCACCAGCAGCACCACCACCACAGCAGCAGCAGCAGCACAUACAGCAGCACCACCACCAGCAACACCUACACCAAAAGGUCCAGACUCUGUGAGGAGUUUACCUCCCUGAGGAGCCGCAGCAGUCGUCUUCCUCCUCCUCCACCACCACCACCACCUCCUCCUCUGCUGACAGCAGUCUGUGCCACAUUUUACUCUGGUGGAGUUUCUAUAAGUUGGUGUAACAUGUAUUCAGCUCAUAUAUUCACUAUAAAUAUGAAGUCAUGUUCUCUCUCUAUAAGGAGUUAAAGCAUUCUCUUUCGCUCUCGACUUUCUCUCUCUUUUCUACAUUGUUAAGUUUCCCUGCCUUUGUAUUUUGUUAUUUUUAAACGUUUGAAUAAAGAAUACAAGUUCUCCGGAUUCGGAUGCUCCGCAGCGUCCCUGAACGCUUCACACAGAGCGGCCGGACAGCGCCUCCCAGCGGCGGAUCGGAGCAACUGCAGCGGUUUCCUGAUCAAGUUUAAUGAUGUUUAUGAUCUUUUUAAACUGUCCGCAGAGUAAACGUGAGAUAUUAAUUAUGUGGAUUUAACUUAAAUGACUUAUUUUACAUGUGAGAAGUUGUGUAAUGUAAUAAAAGAGUAGUUGCAGAGUUUUUAUUUGUCUCCACAGAAAGAUGGAAAACAUGUCCUGCUCAUCAGAAAAAGC
This is a long non-coding RNA of Scomber scombrus (Atlantic mackerel), 2528 nucleotides long. RefSeq lists it as uncharacterized. The record is from RefSeq and is a predicted model, not a curated record. NCBI's taxonomy places the organism in Eukaryota, Metazoa, Chordata, Actinopteri, Scombriformes, Scombridae. The transcript has 4 exons.